RNAcentral lists this ribosomal RNA (304 nucleotides) under uncultured bacterium. RNAcentral describes it as "bacterial SSU rRNA". It matches the Rfam family "Bacterial small subunit ribosomal RNA", at positions 44 to 334 of the family's 1533-position model. The record is from RNAcentral.
GCGCCUAACACAUGCAAGUCGAACGCGAAUUGUCUUCGGACAUAGUAGAGUGGCGCACGGGUGAGUAACACGUGAGUAAUCUCCCCCAAGGCCUGGGAUAACAUUCCGAAAGGAGUGCUAAUACUGGAUAAGACCACAGCCUCUGCGGGGGCAGUGGGAAAAGACGGGGAUCCGAAAGGACCUGUCACCAUGGGAUGAGCUCGCGGCCUAUCAGCUAGUUGGUGAGGUAAUGGCUCACCAAGGCUAAGACGGGUAGCUGGUCUGAGAGGAUGAUCAGCCACACUGGAACUGAGACACGGUCCAG